This 299-nucleotide long non-coding RNA is filed under the name Olea europaea (common olive). RNAcentral describes it as "long non-coding RNA (OEUR_LNC007046)". The record is from RNAcentral. Lineage: Eukaryota; Viridiplantae; Streptophyta; Magnoliopsida; Lamiales; Oleaceae.
UUUGAUUUCUUUUAUUGAUCAUUGUGUUGGUUUGUGUUAUUUUGGCAUUACAUCUUGCUUGUACACAUGUUUUGCAUCAAGUAUUGCUUUCCAUUUCCCAAAUUAUAGUGCAUUCCUAUGGUUUUCUUCACAUUUUUUUAAGUUUUUGGUCCAUGUUCAUCAAUGUAGUUCUUGCACCUCGUUGAUUCGUUUGAUGUGUGGUUUGUUUGAUUGUGAAGUCCAUAGCAUGUAGUUUUUAGGGAUGUGUUUGGAUUUGUGAUUUUGUCUCGUAUGUGCUUGGAAUUUGGUGCCGAAGUCAC